RNAcentral lists this long non-coding RNA (1025 nucleotides) under Callithrix jacchus (white-tufted-ear marmoset). Its description in RNAcentral is "lncRNA (ENSCJAG00000076165.1)". The record is from RNAcentral. Lineage: Eukaryota; Metazoa; Chordata; Mammalia; Primates; Cebidae.
GGCUCCGUCCCGGCGCUCCCAGUUCCCCCCCGCCUCUUCUUCGCCCCUCCCGUCUUUUCCGUCCCAGCCUGAUGGAGCACAUGAGGUUAAAGCUUCGGUCCAGACGUUUUAAGAAAUGUCCCAGGAUCCGUGGAAGUUGUUGAGGAAAAGCAGAGUCUCUGGCAUCCCCAUCCAACGCUCCCGAACCGGAGAUAGCAUGUGGCUGAGGGGUCGUGGUGGGCGGGCUGAAAGGGCAAGGUUAACUCCCUAGAGUCCCCCUGCUCAGCGUGGAAGCCCAGGCAGGGCUGCACAGGCGAGGAUUUCGCAUCCCGGGCAGGCUUCGCGGUGGGAGGAACAUCGCACAUCGCCAUGGCAAUUCUUCCCGUGGGAAUAAGGAACUUCUGAAUGUGGAGCAAAUUGGAAAGGGACCUUCCAAGCGCCAGCUGGGGCUCCAGGCAGGCCGCAUCUAGCACUGUUUCUGGUUCCACCGUCUUGAAACUUUCUUCUCUUGGCCUCCGUAACAUCACACCCUCUGAUGGUUCUUCUGUCCAAGGAGCUUUUGCCUUUCAUCUCCUAAACAUAGUUCUCCCUCAAGACUCCAUCCUUCAGAGCAGCAUGAAGCAGUGGAAAGAAUGCAGGCUUUGGAGCCAGAGUGACUGUAUUUGCUUCUGGGCUGCAUCAUUUAUUAGCUGGGAGACCUCUCUGAGUCUCAGUGUUCUCAACUGUGAAAGGCGAUGAUCUUAAGUGUGUUAGGCUGCAUUUUGUAUUGCUAUAAAGAAAUACCUGACCCUGAGUAGGUUAUAAAGGAAAGAGGUUUAAUUGAGUCACAGUUCUGCGGACAGUACAAGCAGUGUGGUGCUGGCAUCUACUUCUGGAGAGGGCCUCAGGAAGUUUACAAUCAUGGUGGAAGGCCAGUGGGAAGCAGAAAUGUCACAUGAUGAGGGGAAGCAAGAGGUCAGGUGGUGUCACACCCUUGGAAAUAACCAGAUCUCAUAUGAACUCCCUUAUCACCAAGGGGAUAGUGUUAAGCCAUUCAUGAGGAGUCU